UGGGGUGUAGUGUACGGAACACGCUCCCUCCUCUUGGGCGGUGAAAACAUCGUUAGAAUUGAAGGGAGAGACCCGGGUUCGACUCCCGGUGCCCGAA
Non-coding RNA from Mycena leptocephala, 97 nucleotides. The record is from the annotation of a GenBank genome assembly. Lineage: Eukaryota; Fungi; Basidiomycota; Agaricomycetes; Agaricales; Mycenaceae.